RNAcentral lists this long non-coding RNA (557 nucleotides) under Lotus japonicus. Its description in RNAcentral is "long non-coding RNA (LJAP_LNC000181)". The record is from RNAcentral. Lineage: Eukaryota; Viridiplantae; Streptophyta; Magnoliopsida; Fabales; Fabaceae.
UGUAACAUGGUACAUAAGCUAACAACUUAAUUCAAGAUAGAUAACGACAUAUAUCCAACAACCUAAAUUUAAUUCAGAUAUCAACAACAUAGAUUUAAAUAAGAUAUCAGCAAAAUCAACAACAUAAAAUCAAACCAGAUAUCCACAACCUCAACAAUAUAAAAUCAAAUCAUAUGACAAUAACCUCAAAUCAGAUAUCCACAACCUUAAAAAUAUAACAUCAAAUCAGACAUCAACAACUUCAACAAUAUACAUCAAAUCAGAUAUCAACAAUCCUCAACAAUAUAACAUCAAAUCAGAUAUCAACAACUUCAACAAUAUAAAAUCAAAUCAUAUGGCAAUAACCUCAAAUCAGAUAUCAACAACCUUAAAAAUAUAACAUCAAAUCAGAUAUCAACAACUUCAACAAUAUACAUCAAAUCAGAUAUCAACAAUCAUCAACAAUAUAACAUCAAAUCAGAUAUCGACAACCUCAACAAUAUAACAUCAAAUCAACUAUCAACCAAAACAUCAGAAGCAAAUAUUAUUCCCCUAUGAUGCAACUAUAUGCUGCAACC